This 405-nucleotide ribosomal RNA is filed under the name uncultured bacterium. RNAcentral's name for it is "partial 16S ribosomal RNA". It matches the Rfam family "Bacterial small subunit ribosomal RNA", at positions 28 to 526 of the family's 1533-position model. The record is from RNAcentral.
GAUGAACGCUGACAGAAUGCUUAACACAUGCAAGUCAAACUGUGGCGGACGGGCGAGUAACGCGUAAAGAACUUGCCUCACAGAUAGGGACAACAUUUGGAAACGAAUGCUAAUACAUGACACUGUGGGAGAGCUUUGCGUCCCAUUAGCUAGUUGGAGAGGUAACGGCGCACCAAGGCGAUGAUGGGUAGCCGGCCUGGGAGGGUGAACGGCCACAAGGGGACUGGGACAGGGCCCUUACGCCUACGGGAGGCAGCAGUGGGGGAUUGUGGACGAAGGACCAAAGUCUGAUCCAGCAAUUCGGUUUGCAAAAUGCUGUUUUCGGAAUGUAAAGUGCUGUCAGUUGGGAAGCAGUACCAACAGAAGAAGUGACGGCUAAAUACGUGCCAGCAGCCGCGGUAAUUC